This 465-nucleotide ribosomal RNA is filed under the name uncultured bacterium. RNAcentral describes it as "partial 16S ribosomal RNA". It matches the Rfam family "Bacterial small subunit ribosomal RNA", at positions 28 to 507 of the family's 1533-position model. The record is from RNAcentral.
GACGAACGCUGGCGGCGUGCUUAACACAUGCAAGUCGAACGGAAAGGCCCUGCUUGCAGGGUACUCGAGUGGCGAACGGGUGAGUAACACGUGGGUGAUCUGCCCUGCACUUCGGGAUAAGCCUGGGAAACUGGGUCUAAUACCGGAUAGGAGCCAUUUUUAGUGUGAUGGUUGGAAAGUUUUUUCGGUGUAGGAUGAGCUCGCGGCCUAUCAGCUUGUUGGCGGGGUAAUGGCCUACCAAGGCGGCGACGGGUAGCCGGCCUGAGAGGGUGGACGGCCACAUUGGGACUGAGAUACGGCCCAGACUCCUACGGGAGGCAGCAGUGGGGAAUAUUGCACAAUGGGCGCAAGCCUGAUGCAGCGACGCCGCGUGGGGGAUGACGGCCUUCGGGUUGUAAACGCCUUUCGCUAGGGACGAAGCUUUUUGUGACGGUACCUAGAUAAGAAGCACCGGCUAACUACGUG